Molecule: ribosomal RNA, 583 nt
Filed under: uncultured bacterium
Lineage: Bacteria
Description: bacterial SSU rRNA
Rfam family: Bacterial small subunit ribosomal RNA
Source: RNAcentral
CCUACGGGAGGCAGCAGUGGGGAAUCUUGCGCAAUGGCCGAGAGGCUGACGCAGCGACGCCGCGUGGGGGAUGAAGCAUUUCGGUGUGUAAACCCCUGUUGCUCGGGACGAACAAGCCUUUUCGAGGGCUCUGACGGUACCGAGUGAGGAAGCACCGGCUAACUCCGUGCCAGCAGCCGCGGUAAUACGGAGGGUGCGAGCGUUGUCCGGAAUCACUGGGCGUAAAGGGCGCGUAGGCGGUCUGCUAAGCGUGUGGUGAAAGCUCGGGGCUCAACCCCGAGUCGGCCAUGCGAACUGGUGGACUAGAGCACUGUAGAGGCAGGUGGAAUUCCGGGUGUAGCGGUGGAAUGCGUAGAGAUCCGGAAGAACACCGGUGGCGAAGGCGGCCUGCUGGGCAGUAGCUGACGCUGAGGCGCGAUAGCGUGGGGAGCAAACAGGAUUAGAUACCCUGGUAGUCCACGCCGUAAACGAUGGGUACUAGGUGCUUGGGGGAGCGACCCCCCGAGUGCCGGCGCUAAACGCAUUAAGUACCCCCGCCUGGGGAGUUACGACCGCAAGGGUUGAAACUCAAAGGAAUUGACGG